AGCCUGAUCAGUGAAGUACCAGUAGUGGAGGAGUAGCACAAGGUCAUGGGCAUCAUGAACUCGGCUUGCUAAAUACUACGUCCCUCUCGAAUAAUCAGAGAAGCACAAGGUCGAAUACGAGGUUCAUAGGUUGGUGGUCAACAGGGAUCAUAAGUUCACCAAUUUUGCUGAGGAAUACUCACAGUGAGAAUAACUUGCAGUUAUUGACGGCAUCUGUCUCUUUCUCUGAUACUCAACCAAAAACAAUAAAGGCUUCACAACCACCACUUUAUGAAGUUGUAUUGCAUAUUAACAUUAGUGAGUUAUCUAUUUAAUAAAUGAUAACACCAUCUUCUGCAAUUAUAGGACUACUUUUUCAUAUGCAAUGUGCAAAUCAUUAGAGUUGUGAAGGAACUAUAUUGGCGUUAUGUUGGAUGUCGAGAUUGUGCAAAAAAAAAAAACAAUCAACUUCAGGACAAGUCUAUUGCAAAUCAUGUAAUAGGGAAGUAGUGGCUCAAACCAG
This is a long non-coding RNA of Asparagus officinalis (garden asparagus), 502 nucleotides long. RefSeq lists it as uncharacterized. The transcript has 3 exons. NCBI's taxonomy places the organism in Eukaryota, Viridiplantae, Streptophyta, Magnoliopsida, Asparagales, Asparagaceae. The record is from RefSeq and is a predicted model, not a curated record.